GAUGAACGCUAGCGGCAGGCCUAAUACAUGCAAGACGAACGGUAAGUUGAGUAGCAAUACUUAGCCAAGAGUGUCGUACGGGUGCGUAACACGUAUGCAACCUACCCUAUACAGGAGGAUAGCCUAGGGAAACCUGGAUUAACCCUUCAUAGUAUUAUUGGAUGGCAUCAUUUGAUAAUUAAAACUGAGGUGGUAUAGGAUGGGCAUGCGUCUGAUUAGUCAGUUGGCGGGGUAAUGGCCCACCAAGACGAUGAUCAGUAGGGGUUCUGAGAGGAAGAUCCCCCACACUGGCACUGAGAUACGGGCCAGACUCCUACGGGAGGCAGCAGUAGGGAAUAUUGGUCAAUGGAUGCAAGUCUGAACCAGCCAUGCCGCGUGCAGGAAGAAGGCCUUCUGGGUUGUAAACUGCUUUGCCAGGGGAUAAAAUUUCCAUGCGUGGAAAACUGAAGGUACCUGGUGAAUAAGCCACGGCUAACUACGUGCCAGCAGCCGCG
RNAcentral lists this ribosomal RNA (494 nucleotides) under uncultured bacterium. RNAcentral describes it as "bacterial SSU rRNA". It matches the Rfam family "Bacterial small subunit ribosomal RNA", at positions 28 to 519 of the family's 1533-position model. The record is from RNAcentral.